This 899-nucleotide ribosomal RNA is filed under the name Sarcosomataceae sp. GS2_1_3. RNAcentral describes it as "eukaryotic LSU rRNA". The stretch from base 525 to 678 matches the Rfam family "5.8S ribosomal RNA". Lineage: Eukaryota; Fungi; Ascomycota; Pezizomycetes; Pezizales; Sarcosomataceae. The record is from RNAcentral.
GAUAAGCUUGAGUAGAGUGACCUGCGGAGGAUCAUUAACAAUCUUACAAUCACUACCCGUGGCAUACGUCCACUGAUUCUUGGGACGGCGCUUGGUUACCCACCCUCUAUGGAACUGUAGAAGGACCCUGGGACAGGUGCGAGCGUGCGGAUGGAGAGAGAGGAACUCGUUGCCAGAUCCUUUGCGAUGCGCGUUAAGCUCACUCUCCAACUGGCGAACCCUCUUCGAGCGGUCGACCAUUAACGGCCCCGUGGCCGUGGUCUUGAUACGCCAUGACGGAGAGGCUGCAAGAGCCGGCAAUAGUGCCGCACGUGCGCAUCUUGGGCUGUAGAGGUGUGGCCCUUUCAAACCACAAGAUAUCAGUUGGGCUGUAUGUUCAUGGUGUUCCGAUUAAAUCCAAUCUGUGAAACUUCCACUGUUGCUUCCAUGUGUAUCCCACCCAUGGGUGGGGCGCAUGGGACUACAAUCUAACACCGCGUUCUGUUGUUCAUGUCUGAGUGGUAACCCACAAUAUAACAAGUUAAAACUUUCAACAACGGAUCUCUUGGUUCUCGCAUCGAUGAAGAACGCAGCGAAAUGCGAUAAGUAGUGUGAAUUGCAGAAUUCAGUGAAUCAUCGAAUCUUUGAACGCACAUUGCGCCUUCUGGUAUUCCGGGAGGCAUGCCUGUUCGAGCGUCAUGAAAAGCAUCCUCAAGCAAACUUGCUUGGUCGUGGAAGAAGAUGGCUUCCAUCUCUUCUGGAAAUCCUCAGCAGAAGGCCUUGCAACCUCCGGUGUGAUAAAACUAUUCACUUGACGGUUACAAAGUUUUCUUGCUGCACAGAACGCCCCCCCAGCAUUUUCUACAUGUUUGACCUCGGAUCAGGUAGGGAUACCCGCUGAACUAAGAAUAAAAGAGAGA